GUUGAAAUGGCUGAGCAUUAAGCGGUAAAUUGUAAAUUUACACACGAAUAAAUAAAAUUCUUUCAUCA
RNAcentral lists this transfer RNA (68 nucleotides) under Oxypoda acuminata. Its description in RNAcentral is "tRNA-Tyr". Lineage: Eukaryota; Metazoa; Arthropoda; Insecta; Coleoptera; Staphylinidae. The record is from RNAcentral.